AAACAAUGUUUCGUUGGAAAAUAGAAAAAAAAAAAAAAGGACCGAAUUCACGAAGGAAAUAAAAUAGGAUAGGGGAAAAAAAACUCGAUCUUUUUCGAUAAAUCUAUGUAACUAUGAUAGUCGUAGAAAGUCAUGUUCUCGAGACACGACACGACGAUCUCUCCGAUCUCUAUGUAACGGAGAUCUGGUACACUGGCAUGAUUCAGCGGCGGUGUUUGGAAAUUUCCAGAUUUCACCUUGACUUUGAUUGCAAGUCGCACGCGAGCCUGAUCGUGCGAAUCCCUCAGGCUAAUAGAUCAUUUAAAAUCGACGAAAGAUACAAAGAUCGAAAAAAAAAAAGUGAAUUUCUGUAAUUUUUGUUCGGGAAUAUCGAAGAUUGAACGACCAGUUCUCGGCCUAACUGGAUUGAUUAAACUUAGCACGUGCUGCAAACCGGCUCCACAGGAUGAAUCCGGAUCGCGUAAUUACACGAUGCGAAUUCGCGUCAAUGUUUCGUACUUUUCGUGAUGUCUCGUUAUCCGACACGCGUGAUACAAAAAAAGAAACCACUUUGUGAAUCAUACGAUUCGUGCGUUUCGCGAAGAGAAAAGGAACGAGAAGAGUGAUCACGUUGACUUUCGAUAUU
This is a long non-coding RNA of Apis florea (little honeybee), 625 nucleotides long. Lineage: Eukaryota; Metazoa; Arthropoda; Insecta; Hymenoptera; Apidae. The record is from RefSeq and is a predicted model, not a curated record.